Molecule: ribosomal RNA, 396 nt
Filed under: uncultured bacterium
Lineage: Bacteria
Description: partial 16S ribosomal RNA
Rfam family: Bacterial small subunit ribosomal RNA
Source: RNAcentral
AUACGUAGGUGGCAAGCGUUGUCCGGAAUUAUUGGGCGUAAAGCGCAUGUAGGCGGCGUGUUUAGUCUGUCGUGAAACUGCGGGGCUCAGCCCCGUCUGGCGAUGGAAACUGAUGUGCUUGAGUGCAGGAGAGGAAAGGGGAAUUCCCAGUGUAGCGGUGCAAUGCGUAGAUAUUGGGAAAAACACCGGUGGCGAAGGCGCCUUUCUGGACUGUGUCUGACGCUGAGAUGCGAAAGCCAGGGUAGCGAACGGGAUUAGAUACCCCGGUAGUCCUGGCCGUAAACGAUGGGUACUAGGUGUGGGAGGUAUCGACCCCUUCCGUGCCGGAGUUAACGCAAUAAGUACCCCGCCUGGGGAGUACGGCCGCAAGGCUUAAACUCAAAUGAAUUGACGGGG